CCUACGGGAGGCAGCAGUCGGGAAUUUUGCGCAAUGGGGGAAACCCUGACGCAGCAAUACCGCGUGUGGGAUGAAGGCCUUCGGGUCGUAAACCACUUUUUUCGGGGACGAUAAUGACGGUACCCGAAGAAUAAGCCACGGCUAACUACGUGCCAGCAGCCGCGGUAAUACGUAGGUGGCAAGCGUUGUCCGGAUUUACUGGGCGUAAAGCGCGCGCAGGCGGUGAAUGAAGUCGAAAGUGAAAGCCCCGAGCUCAACUCGGGAACUGCUUUCGAAACCAGUUCACUUGAAGGUGGAAGAGGGAAGUGGAAUUCCGAGUGUAGCGGUGGAAUGCGUAGAUAUUCGGAGGAACACCAGAGGCGAAGGCGACUUCCUGGUCCAAUCUUGACGCUGAGGCGCGAAAGCUAGGGGAGCAAACAGGAUUAGAUAUCCUGGUAGUCCUAGCUGUAAACGAUGGAUACUAGGUGUUGGAGGUUUUAACCCCUUCGGCGCCGCAGCUAACGCAUUAAGUAUCCCGCCUGGGGAGUACGGCCGCAAGGCUAAAACUCAAAGGAAUUGACGG
RNAcentral lists this ribosomal RNA (562 nucleotides) under uncultured bacterium. RNAcentral describes it as "bacterial SSU rRNA". It matches the Rfam family "Bacterial small subunit ribosomal RNA", at positions 338 to 916 of the family's 1533-position model. The record is from RNAcentral.